GACGAACGCUGGCGGCGUGCCUAAUACAUGCAAGUAGAACGCACAGUUUAUACCGUAGCUUGCUACACCAUAGACUGUGAGUUGCGAACGGGUGAGUAACGCGUAGGUAACCUGCCUGGUAGCGGGGGAUAACUAUUGGAAACGAUAGCUAAUACCGCAUAAUAUUAAUUAUUGCAUGAUAAUUAAUUGAAAGGUGCAAUUGCACCACUACCAGAUGGACCUGCGUUGUAUUAGCUAGUAGGUGAGGUAACGGCUCACCUAGGCGACGAUACAUAGCCGACCUGAGAGGGUGAUCGGCCACACUGGGACUGGGACACGGCCCAGACUCCUACGGGAGGCAGCAGUAGGGAAUCUUCGGCAAUGGACGAAAGUCUGACCGAGCAACGCCGCGUGAGUGAAGAAGGUUGUCGGAUCGGAAAGCUCUGUUGUAAGAGAAGAACGGGUGUGAGAGUGGAAAGUUCACACUGUGACGGUAUCUUACCAGAAAGGGACGGCUAACUACGUG
This 505-nucleotide ribosomal RNA is filed under the name uncultured bacterium. Its description in RNAcentral is "partial 16S ribosomal RNA". It matches the Rfam family "Bacterial small subunit ribosomal RNA", at positions 28 to 507 of the family's 1533-position model. The record is from RNAcentral.